GGUGAACGCUGGCGGCGUGCCUAAUACAUGCAAGUCGAGCGAACGGACGAGAAGCUUGCUUUUCUGAUGUUAGCGGCGGACGGGUGAGUAACACGUGGAUAACCUACCUAUAAUACUGGGAUAACUUCGGGAAACCGGAGCUACUACCGGAUAAUAUUUUGAACCGCAUGGUUCAAAAGUGAAAGACGGUCUUGCUGUCACUUAUAGAUGGAUCCGCGCUGCAUUAGCUAGUUGGUAAGGUAACGGCUUACCAAGGCAACGAUGCAUAGCCGACCUGAGAGGGUGAUCGGCCACACUGGAACUGAGACACGGUCCAGACUCCUACGGGAGGCAGCAGUAGGGAAUCUUGCGCAAUGGGCGAAAGCCUGAUGGAGCAACGCCGCGUGAGUGAUGAAGGUCUUCGGAUCGUAAAACUCUGUUAUUAGGGAAGAACAUAUGUGUAAGUAAAUGUGCACAUCUUGAAGGUACCUAAUCAGAAAGCCACGGCUAACUACGUG
Molecule: ribosomal RNA, 497 nt
Filed under: uncultured bacterium
Lineage: Bacteria
Description: partial 16S ribosomal RNA
Rfam family: Bacterial small subunit ribosomal RNA
Source: RNAcentral